Molecule: ribosomal RNA, 494 nt
Filed under: uncultured bacterium
Lineage: Bacteria
Description: partial 16S ribosomal RNA
Rfam family: Bacterial small subunit ribosomal RNA
Source: RNAcentral
GACGAACGCUGGCGGCGCGCUUAACACAUGCAAGUCGAACGGAAAGGCCUGCUUUCCCUUGUGGAUUGCGGGUACUCGAGUGGCGAACGGGUGAGUAACACGUGAGUGAUCUGCCCCCAACUUGGGUAUAAGCCUGGGAAACUGGGUCUAAUUCCCGAUAGGACUGCAGGGUGGUGCCUGUGGUGGAAAACGAUUUUCUAGUGGUUGGGGAUGAGCUCGCGGCCUAUCAGCUUGUUGGUGGGGUAAUGGCCUACCAAGGCGGCGACGGGUAGCCGGCCUGAGAGGGUGGACGGCCACAUUGGGACUGAGAUACGGCCCAGACUCCUACGGGAGGCAGCAGUGGGGAAUAUUGCACAGUGGGCGGAAGCCUGAUGCAGCGACGCCGCGUGGGGGAUGACGGCCUUCGGGUUGUAAACUCCUUCCGACCGCGAGGAAGCCACCUGGUUGGAAGGGUGGUGACGGUAGUGGUAGAAGAAGCACCGGCUAACUACGUG